UCCUCGAUGGUCUAGUGGUGAUGAUUUCCGCUUGUCACCGCCUUUGGGCAGAACAAGCGCGGGAGACCGGGGUUCGAUUCCCCGUCGGGGAG
Non-coding RNA from Talaromyces proteolyticus, 92 nucleotides. The record is from the annotation of a RefSeq genome assembly. Lineage: Eukaryota; Fungi; Ascomycota; Eurotiomycetes; Eurotiales; Trichocomaceae.